UAUUAUGUAUAUUAAAUAAAUUUGUCAUCCUGUAAGUAAUUUUUGAAUCUUUUAUUAAUCUGGAUAUAGUCAAUUUGAUUGAAAUAUAUGUCAUUUAGAGCCUUCUGAGUUCUAUUAUAUAUAUAUUUACGCGGAGACAUUGUGCUUAUCACAAUAAGUCUUUUAUCAAUAUUAGAGUUUAUAAGCCUGAGUCCGUUUUCACUAAUUAUAUCAAGAAAGUUAUGAAUCCCAAUCGUUGUUCUGAAAACAAUUUUUCUCUAACUUGGCAUUAAAAUUCUCAAAGACAUCCCGAUUCUACUUCGUGGGAUUACACUUAGUGUGCACACUCGUCCUUCUGCUCAUGUGCUUUUCAUUCCAUAGAUGCGUGUUUAUCAAAGUAAUGCAGUAUCAAGGAACCAUCCUUUUAUUGUUAGCACUAAUAUCCUUGUGUUGACACUUUUAAAUUCUAUUAAAAAAAUAACUACACUAUUGUCUUGAAUAUCUAGAUUUCUUUGGUGGCAUUAUCUUAUUUCUUGUGAGGCCACCACUUCUAAAUUGUAUCUCUCUGUUUCGUUGAUAAAGGAUUGUACUAUGUCAGGUUUUAAAAGUGUUUGAAUAUUCCAAGUUCUAAAAUGUUAUAUUUUAUUACCCUCAUUUGUAAAAUUGAUAUCUCUAUCCACAUGAAAUUUUAAUUAAAAUAAAUGUUGGUGAUAGAAGUUGGUGAUCAACCCAUUGAUGAGAUGCUUCACUUUAAUUCUACCGAUACAUCAAUGAUACUCCACUACUCUCCCCUUACCAAAAACUAAAAGUGAAAAAUCUCGUUAACGGAUUGACGGAAACCAAAAAUGUUAACACUGAAAUUAAUUUUAACGAAAAUAUCAUUCAUUUGUAGAUUUUUUAAUAAAGGACGCUCGUUGAAAAUUAAAUGCAGGUAGAAGUUUUGACCCCAAAUAUCAGGUUGACUAAAAAUUACGUUUAUGCAACAAUCUAGAACUGUUUAUUUCUUAAAUUAUACUAAUGAAUUAAUCUAAAAAAAGUUAAUACUUUCUGAAAUAAUGAGUGUCUUAUUGAAAGCUGACCGUUAUGCAGUAUUUCAAUGAAGUGUUGAGAGGUAUUUUCUUUCUUACAAAAAAUAUUCGUUUGUUGGCUCAGUUUUGUUUUAUAUUUUAUACAAAGUUAAUGACUAAUAUUGUGGUAUCGGAUUCACUUUAAACUUUAAAUAGUGUUAAUUCUUAAUUUAAAUUGACCUAGUGCUGUAAUGAACAAAUAUAUUUAAUAUAAAAAAUUAAAACCAAUUGAACUAUUUGUUAGGAAUAUUGUUAAUUGUGGAUGUUUUAAACUUAUUAAAAUGUUUUAAAAAGCUCCGAGCAGGACCAUUCAACGUUUAAAUUAUAUGUUUAUAGUAGUUAUUGCUAUAGAGUUUUAAACAAAAAAAUAUAUAACACGCUUUUUUUUCGUUUUUCAAAAAAUACGUUAAAUUUAUUAAGUUUUUUGAAUUGUUAUUAAUAAUAACUUAUUAUACAUAUUGUGUGUAAAAGAAUAAGUACGUUUUAACCUUCCCCAUCGCACUAUGAUAUUGAUCGAUAAGAGCAUAGUUCGAUCCCAUUAUUACUACUAAUUACUAUUAGCAUAAAGUAAUAAAAAUACAUUGUGACAUUGUUCGUUUUUCGAAGUAUUACGAUCGUUCUCUUCGUCCGAAUGUUCAGAAAAUUAAAAAAAAACACCGGAUUAAAAAUUUUCGAGAUAUAGAUAUUAUUCAUACCGAAUUAUAUUAUAUUUUGUAUAUUGUAUUAUUGCAUUUUAUAUGUUUAUUUCCUGUUAAUUGUAAAGUUUUUUUUUUUUUAGUUACAAUAAUAUUAUUUUACAUACCUACGUUACAUAAUAUUGUUAAUUAUUAAUCAGUCCAAUAUGAAUAUUAUAAUAUUUGAGCAUUUGACCUUAUUAAAUUCUCACUUGAGAUCAUUAAUCAAUUAAUAACGAAAUAAUAAACGUACUUGAUAAAAAUAAAAUGUUCGUAUUAUAAGGCUCAAAGCUGUUAUUCCUCUCUUAAACACUAAAUAAUAUAACAAUGAAAUAGGGUAAACAAUAAAAAAAAAAAGUGCUGAUACUGCUGAUUGGUGUGCCAGUAUUACAGUUGGAAAGUUCGAAAAGUAGGACACUAAUCAAUGGUUUCGAAAAACGGUUCUAAAAGAAAUUAGGUUAAAUAUGUUUUAAAAUGCCGUUAUUUUUGAGAUAAUGAACUAAAUUCGCAAGCCUUUAUCUACAACAAAGACAAUUUUGUUCAUAAAGAAACAAAUAAAAACUAAACAAACAAAGAACUGAUACUGAUGACGGUGCGCUACUAUUGUAGGUGGGAAAUUGGGACGAUAGGGUACACAAAAUUAAUUAAUUAAUAUCAGUAAGCAACAAUAAACCAUUGCUAACGAAAAAACAAAUCUGAGCGGAAUUCAGUUAAUUUAGUGAUGCGUUGUCAACAAUUAUAUAAUCUAUGUCAUGUAAUGGUAAAAUAAUUAAAUAAGCAUUAUAUAUUUUCUUUAAUAAUAUUUGUUUAAUAUUUUUUAAUAUUUUCCUAUUUUUAAGUGUUUUUCACAGUUGCUGGGAAAAUUCUUGGGAAAACCGAAAAUGACCCCCUUUAAGUAUAUUUCCAGUUAGAUUUCCUUUCAGAAAAAAUGCUAUCAUUAUAAAUCUGAGCAAAAUUACUGGUAAAAAAGUUUGUACAACAAAUCGAAGGGUAUUUUUUGAUUAAAAAAGUCUGAGCGAUCGAUAGCUGGGUCUCUAGGUACACCUAAAAUAAAUGCAAAACAAUUGUUUGAAACCCGGAUUUGACCUCGCGAUCUCUAGGAUGACAAUAGAUACCUAUAAACAUUAGACUACGACAAACAUAGUUUAAAGUUGAAAAUGUAGAGUUAUUUAACAUAACACAUAAUAUCAGAACUUUAAAAGGCUAUAAUUUCGAAACUUAGUCCGUUCAAUUCUGUCUUCACCAUCGUUCUUAAAUCGUCUACACAGGGUGUUUCACGAGGAUUCGGCAAAUGCAAUAACUUUGUCAACAAUAUGCCAUAUUAUAGUAAAAUAAUUAAAUAGGCACUAUAUAUUUUCUUUAAUAAUAUUUGUUUAAUAUUGUACUGAUUUUCUGGGUUUUUCAAAUUUUCUGAGAAAACUCCGGGGAAAAUGGAAAAACAACUUCUUUAAAGUACCUCGCCAGUGAAAUUUUCCUUCAGAAACAUUGCUAUAAUUAAGAUUUAGAGCCAAAUUUCUGGUUGAAAAGUUAUCCACAGAAAAAAAUAACAACUUUGUAAUUCCAUAAAAAAAAUUAAUACAGUUUUCAAUAUUUAUAGGCUGUUUUAAUUCAAGCAUUACUUACAAUAUAUUGG
Non-coding RNA from Cinara cedri, 3353 nucleotides. Lineage: Eukaryota; Metazoa; Arthropoda; Insecta; Hemiptera; Aphididae. The record is from the annotation of a GenBank genome assembly.